This 4155-nucleotide long non-coding RNA is filed under the name Homo sapiens (human). RNAcentral's name for it is "HSALNT0375511". Lineage: Eukaryota; Metazoa; Chordata; Mammalia; Primates; Hominidae. The record is from RNAcentral.
GUUGCUCUGGCUGAUCUCAAAUGUUUGACCUCAAGGGAUCUUUCUGCCACAGCCUCCUUAAGUGCUAGGAUUAUAUGCAUGAUACACCAUGCCUAUUGUAGAGUAUUACAUUAUUUUCAAAGUCUUAUUGUAAGAGCCAUUUAUUGCCUUUGGCCUAAAUAACUCAAUAUAAUAUCUCUGAAACUUUUUUUUGACAAAUUUUGGGGCAUGAUGAUGAGAGAAGGGGGUUUGAAACUUUCUAAUAAGAGUUAACUUAGAGCCAUUUAAGAAAGGAAAAAACACAAAUUAUCAGAAAAACAAAAGUAAGAUCAAGUGCAAAAGUUCUGUGGCAAAGAUGAUGAGAGUAAAGAAUAUAUGUUUGUGACUCAUGGUGGCUUUUACUUUGUUCUUGCAUUUCUGAGUACGGGUUAACAUUUAAAGAAUCUACAUUAUAGAUAACAUUUUAUUGCAAGUAAAUGUAUUUCAAAAUUUGUUAUUGGUUUUGUAUGAGAUUAUUCUCAGCCUACUUCAUUAUCAAGCUAUAUUAUUUUAUUAAUGUAGUUCGAUGAUCUUACAGCAAAGCUGAAAGCUGUAUCUUCAAAAUAUGUCUAUUUGACUAAAAAGAAGUUAUUCAACAGGAGUUAUUAUCUAUGAAAAAAAUACAACAGGAAUAUAAAAAACUUGAAGAGGAUAAGAAGAUGUUGGAAAAAGUAAUAUUAAAUCUUAAAAAACAUAUGGAAAGUACACAUUGGUGAAGACACAUUGGUGAAGUACAAAAAUAUAAAUUGGAUCUAGAAGAAAGGGCAAUUCAGGCAAUAGAAAAAUUAGUAGAAAUCCCUUUAAAGGUUAGUUUGUAAAAUCAGGUAAGUUUAUUUAUAAUUUGCUUUCAUUUAUUUCACUGCAAAUUAUAUUUUGGAUAUAUAUAUAUAUUGUGCUUCCUCUGCCUGUCUUACAGCAAUUUGCCUUGCAGAGUUCUAGGAAAAAGGUGGCAUGUGUUUUUACUUUCAAAUAUUUAAAUUUCCAUCAUUCUAACAAAAUCAAUUUUUCAGAGUAAUGAUUCUCACUGUGGAGUCAUUUGAUUAUUAAGACCCGUUGGCAUAAGAUUACAUCCUCUGACUAUAAAAAUCCUGGAAGAAAACCUAGGAAAUAUUCGUCUGGACUUUGCACUUGGCAAUGAAUUUAUGGGUAACCACUGAUCCACUUCCAGUCACUAUCCAUGAGUUUUUAUUUCCAAAUACAUGAAAUCAUAUGGUUUUGGCUGUUGCAAGUAAAGCUGCUAUGAAGAUUCAUGUAAAAUCCUCUGAAUGGGCAUAUGCUCUUAGUUUUCAUCUCUAAUAGAAGUGGAAUAGACAGCUAUCAUGUCUGUAAUAUGCAAACACAAAGGCUGACAAAACUGAUUUCUAAAGUGGAAACUCCACUGGAUAACCUUGACUCCAGCCUGGCUUUUGAGAUUAUCUCCUAUGUUUGUGCAAUGAUUGGUCCUGGGGUAGCCACAUGACCCAAGGAGGACCAUGUUUAAACUUCUGAGUUUUCAUCGAGAUUAACAUGCAUUUGUUGAAAGAGAAAGCCCUUUUCUUCUAAUCCCCCAACUGCAAAUGCUUUCAGGGAUCACAUCAUGUUGGCACAUUUGGUUACAGUGUUUCCUAAACUUCGAGGGUAAAAAUUGUUCAAGUAGGUAAAAAUGGAGCAAAUACAGAGAAAAAAGGAGUCCAGAAACAUCAAAUAAAAAAGAAAGGGCCUCCAUAAAAUCAUUUGAACUUAUGAUUAAUUCAUUAGUCAUUAAAACAAGUUUAAUGUACAAAGAGUCAUCCCCCCAACCACCCUUUAUUCCUUCACCAAGUUUAAGUUACAUUUUUUUAACUUGCAAACAAAAGAUUUGUCAUUAACUUAGACAUCAAAACUCCUUGUCUCCAAGAGCAGUCAUUCAACUCUGUCCCUCUCAUUGUUACAAUAAUAUGUUCACUUCAUUCUGCAUACACCUGCUCUUUGCCCUUGUCUCCCUAUUCUAUUCUAUUAAAGUUACAUCCAGACAUUUAUUUCAUUUUGUAUCAAAGAAACUGUAUACAUGUUUUUAAUCUUAGAAAAAUUUCUGAGUAAUUUUUUGUCUCAUAUUUGAUUUUAAGCCACCCAAGAAGCAUUAUUUUUUCAUUUAGUAUUUUAACUUUUCUAACCCAGGACUUUUAUAGUAGAUAUUAUGUCUUUUUCUAAAUGCUCUGCUUCAAUUUACAUUUUAAAUCUAAAUUUUAAAAAGUGUACGUUUUCAAUAUUUGCAUCAUGUAUCUCAGGCCUAAAUAUCCCUUGAUAACCAAUCCUGCCUUUUUUUCUCUGCAUUUUUCACAUAUUUCAAUAGGGAGCUAUAUCGCCUGACACAAUAAAAGUUUUUGCCAAUAUAACAUAACACAUAGGCAAAAUUUUGUUUCCAAGUGAUUGAUGAUGUGGUGCCUUCAGUCUAGUCCCAAUCCCUCAAUGUAAUCAUCAUCCCUAUCUAAUGAAAUAUGAAAUAAAUAUUUCACUUUGUUUCUAAAAUUCAGCAGACAAAUAUAUAGCCUGUCACAUACAGCCUGUAACACCAACAUAUAAAAAUGAAAGCAGUUCCUUCUCCACUCCCACUGCUUCACUUGACUAGCCUUGAAAAAUAAUAACAAUAAUAAAAAAUGAAAGCAAAAUUGUUCCUUUAUUUAUCUUUGCAAUUUAAUGGAUAUACUGUCAGAAAAGCUCUUCUAUAUAUAUGGAGGGCCUCUAUAAAAUAUAGACUCUUAACUAGAAAAGUAGACUUACAUGAUGGUUAAAUUAAAAACACAAUUAUAUAUAGUACCUUCACAAAUGCACCAGUACUUAUUUCAGAAUGCAUGAUGUAAUUGACUAAACCAUUUAGGGCUAGACCUCUGAAAUAAAAGGCAUUCACACUUUGUGAUUCUAAGGGGAAAAUAUUAUUCAAAAUAGAAGCAUGCAGAACCUUUACCUGAUCAUGAUAAAAAAAUUUUCCUACUUGUUGUGAAUAUGCCACAGCUUUUCAAGGUCAGCAAAAAGAGAUUAUCCCACAAUAUAAGCUGAUGGCCAAAAUUAUCUGCCUUACUUUAGUUACCAUAAUAUCUAUUAAGUGUAAAUUUCUUCUGAAAGAAAACAGAUACAUUUUUCUCAGAAAUGUCUUUAGAUGAAGAUCUAGCACAUCUGUUUUUCUAACUUUUGAAAAUUUUGUUUUUAUCGAUAAAUAUAUAUGGGGUACAAUGUGGUACAAUACAUGUAAAUAUUGUGAAGUGGACAAAUUAGGCUAAAUAACAUAUCCUUCACCUCAGAUAUUUAUUACAUUAUGGUGAAACAUUUAAAAUGUACUAUUUUAGCGCUUUUAAGAUAUGCACUAUAUUAUGAGUAACUGCAGUCACUUUGCUGUGUACCAUAUCACCAGAAUGUAUUUCUCCUAACUGAAGCAUUAUCCCAUUGAAUAUUUCCCCUUUUUCCACCCCCGCCACCCGACCUGCUCAGCCUCUGAUAAACCACCAUUCUACUCUUAACUUCUAUGAGUGCACAUUUUUGGAUUUCACAUGUAAGUGGUAUCAUGAGAUAUUUGUCUUUCUGUGUCUGGCUUAUUUUACUUAGUAUAAUGUCCUCUAAAUUCAUCCACGUUUUUGCAAAUGACAGAAUUUCAUUCAUUUAUAAAGAUAAGUAGUAUUUUUGUAUGCAUCCUACAUAUGCUUUUAAUUUUCCACAGCUUUAUUGAGAUAUAAUUCAUACAUUAUGUAAUUCACUCAUUUAAAGUACAAACUUCAAAUUCUUUUAGUAUAUUAACUGGGUGGACAAAUAAUCUUCAUAAGAUAAUUUUAGAACAUUUUAAUGCCCUUAAAAGAGACUUGCACCCAUUAGCAAUCUUUCCCUAUUUUUUCCAGCCUUUUUAAAACCCCUCCUAGUCUAGGUGACCACUCAUCUAAUUUCUGACUAUGAAUUUGCCUAUUCUGGACAUUUCACAUAAACGGAAUCAUAAUAACACAUAGUCAUUUCUUACUCACUUCUUUCGCUUAACAUAUUUUUAAUGUUCAUCCAUUUUGGAGCAUGCAUUAACACUUUUUUCCCUUUUGUUAAGAAAUAAGAUUCUAUUUUAUAGACACACCACAUUUUAUUCAUCCACUCCUCAGUUGAUGAACAUUUCUGUUCUUUUCUACUUUUUGUUGCUAUAAACAU